Diabrotica virgifera virgifera (western corn rootworm) is the source of this 4685-nucleotide long non-coding RNA. RefSeq lists it as uncharacterized. The transcript is spliced from 2 exons. The record is from RefSeq and is a predicted model, not a curated record. Lineage: Eukaryota; Metazoa; Arthropoda; Insecta; Coleoptera; Chrysomelidae.
UGGGUAAGUCCAUCUGAAUUAAGGAGGCCGUUGUACCCCCCCUGGCGACAGGACUAAUUUCCCUGGUAACACAUAAAAAAUUCGCAAUUGAAUAAAAAUGGUAUACAUUUUUAUCUUAAUUUUCAAUUGGAAAUAUUGAUAAUUAAUUAUUAAAGAUUGUCGAUCUCUUGUCCCGACAAAUUUACAGCCUCGUUUCUUUAGUCGGACAACGUAAAUAUGUUAAUUAUGGCAGGUUAUGUUUUGCGAUUACAAAAUUUCGGACACCAAUAACAAGUGAUAUAUUGGAGGGUCCUUUAUCCAAAUAUAGCACUGUCCGACAAAAAUUGGGUAUCAGAUAGCCCAGUCCGACAAAUUAAUUUCAAAACUUUUUAUACCGUAACCGCCGCGCUACUAGCCACACGGGUGGAUUGAGCUAAUACAGUCCUGGACCCUUCACACUUGUUGCACUGUUUACUUUUAUGUCUAGAACGUCAGAAAAUGUAUAGAAACCAACGAACUGUCAACACUGAUGGAAUCGCCAUGAAGCGAACUUAAUGCCUUCAGGAUGAGAUAGAAGAUAAUCAGGUAAAGGAGGGAAGAUAAUCGCCAUCUUUCGUAAACAAAACAAAUUGACAGUGCUAGUCAGGGUUGUCAGAUUGGGGUAUUCAAUUUUGAGGUAAUUUAAAAGCGUAUAGGGGAACUUCUCUAAGCAGAAAUGGUUGGGAGAUUUUUUGGGGUGAAAAUUAUGGAAGAUUUUAAGGGGUCAUGGGAAAUUAAAUUUGCGAAUUUACACAUAGAACUGUAUAUUAUACUCUCAUAUAAUCGAAGAAGAUAGGACCUAUGAAUUAUUUCCAGGGCCCUCUGUUGAUAAGUAGUAUAAUUUUUGUUUACUGUUCUCUACAUUUGAUUACUCAUUUAUUAAAAUGCGGCAAAAAUUUAAAUUUGGGUGAUUUGAGCUUCAAUUUGAGGGAAUUUCAGUUUCUAAGUGGGGGAUUUAUAAAAUCACAUCUGGCAACUCGGGUGGUAGUUGCAGCAAAUUUUACCUGAAAAAUUCUCUGUCUCUCUAGGACCUCUCUCUUGUAUGUUACAGGCAAUCUCGCUUCACUGUUUGAAUGGGACGGGGCCAUUCCAUUAAAACCGAAUGUAAACAUAACCUCAUUACUAGACGUUUCAUAUCCAAACAAAGCGUUGUCAUGAAGCAUCUAUACUAGAGGUACAGUUGAGUCCGGUAAUCUUUACCUGUGCGUCAUAAUUUAAAGCAUACGAAAUAAGACGAUGAUAAGUCGGAAAUUGAAAUUUACUAAACGCAUCAGCAAGUCACUUGCUGUUGCGUUUAGUAAAUUUCAAUUUCCGACUUAUCAUCGACUUAUUUCGUAUGCUUUAAAUGAUGACGCACGGGUAAAGAUUCCCGGCCUCAACUGUAGGUAGCUGAUUUGUGACGAUACCGACAAAGUAUAAGUAGACUACCACUGUUUAAAAAUAAUUUUGUUUUUUAUAAGUUUGCGUCAUUUUUUUUAUCGGACAAUUACAUUUUUAAUAACCAUGUAUUAUUUGAACGUUAAAAAAAUUAAAAUUAUGACUUUUGUAAUCGCAAAACAUUACCUGCCAUAAUUAACAUAUUUACGUUGUCCGACUAAAAAAACGAGGCUGUAAAUUUUUCGGACAAGAGAUCGACAAUCUUUAGUAAUUAAUUAUCAAUAUAGGGGAGUACAAUUAGAACGAAGACAUGCAUUGUUUCGGAAAAAUUCAAACAAGCUUAUAUUUUUCUAAAACUUUUUUUGUUAGUUUAUAUACAUGUUAAAGUAAACAGUUCUUCUCGCAGAUUUGGCCGCUAAUUGUUUAUUAAUUGUUUAAACAAUAACAAUUGUUUUGUAUAAAUAAUUUUAAAAAUAUCGUUCAAUUCAUAAUUUUACUUUGAUUAAAUAUGUUUCUAUUUUGUUUCUGAUUAUGCCGAAUCCGAAUAUGGCAUUGCAAUUUGAAAAUUCUUUUACAGAAGCUCUUAUACAGUGUGUCUGCGUAGCUAGGAACCACAUGGAACACUUUUUUAUUAUCAAUUUUACGAAAAAAAGUUAUUAUUCUUAAUGAAAGGCUCUGAAUAGUCAAAAAUCUAAAACUCAACCAUCAGAUAUCAAAUUUUAUCAAUUUUGUAGGAGUUAUGUCAAAAAUAUGAAUUUCGUUAAACAGUAAAGUACCUUUAUAUUCCAACAUAUCAAAAAAUGCUAUUAUGAAAAGUUGUUUGAAAUUAGAAACUAUGUCUAAAUAUACAAUUAUAUCAUUCCAAUCGAAAAAAAAAAAAAUUAAAUUUUUUCUCAAAUUACGGAUACUCAUCAUCAUUUUAUUACAAUUAUGAUAACUAUUUUAUUAUCACUUUUACGAAAAAAAGUUAUUUUUUAUAAAAUGUUCUAAAAUCUAAGAUACAACCAUCAGACAUCAAACUUUUUAAUUUUAUAAUAUGUAAAAAAUAUGAAUUUUUCUUAAGAGCUAAGUGCCUUUAUUAUUCACAAUAUUUUAAUUAGAAUGAUGUAAUUGAAUACUAAAACAAAUUUUUUAAUUCCAAACAACUUUUUUUAAUAACAAUUUUCGAUAGUGUGAAAUGUAAUGGUACUUUACUCUUGAGUGAAAUUCAUAUUUUUUGACAUACCUCGUAUAACAUUAAUUAAAUUUGAUAUUUGAUGAUUGCGUCUUAGAUUAUAUACGAUGCAAAGUAUUUUAUAAAUAAUAACUUUUUUUCGUAAAACUGAUAAUAAAAAAGUUAUCAAUAGGUUCCAAGUUACGCAGACAUACUGUAUAAGAGCUAAAAAAAUUUUUUUUGCUGAACGUUUAUUAUUAUUGAAGCUUAUUAUUAAAUGUAUUUUAGGUAAGUUUUACAGAAAAAAGUUUUGAUCACUUUGUACAAACAUUUUUUAGCUGGUAAUUUUCGGUUUUUGUCUUACAUUUUUGUUAUCUUUCUUAAUUUUUUUAAAAAGAAAUAGUUUAUUUCAUUUCUAAAGUAAAAUAAUUUAGUACAUUUUAGAGAUUACAUCCUAAGCUUUAAAAAAGCACUUAUAAAACUGUAAUAGAUCUGUUCAAACUUGAGUAAUACCGUCUUAAAGUGGUGAUAAUUCUAUAAAACUACGAAGAUUUCAAAAAUUACAUUUUUUGAGACGUCAUAUCAUUUGAAUUAAAUUAUUGAGAUUUUUUUUAAUGAAACAUCAUUUAGUAAGAUGCUUGAAAGGUAAGUUGUGCAAAACUGAGAGUGUUAUAAGAAAAACUGUAUGAUCAACUAUUUUUAAUGGGAAAUACGCCACAAUUUUACCAAUUUGGGCUUCGAAAUGUUAAUAAAAUCAUUUUUUUGGUAAAAUUGUGGCUUAUUUUCCAUUAAAAAUAGUUGAUUAUAAAAAUGUCACAAGGAAAUAGCUUCAGAACAACAUUAAAAAACUAUUAGUUACACAUUUUUAAACAAAAUUCAUGUAAGGCACCCUUUUCGCCCACACCGUAGUUAUGCCCAUACAUUUUAUUUUUUUCUAUUAUAACCAUAAGAUAGCUUAAUUAUUCUUCUUUCGCGGAAACGCGUCCAACCUGCACUCAGACUCUUGGUGGUAGACUUGCUCAAACGAAGCAAUUACAUAAAACCAUUUUUAAGACUUUUGUUUUGUAAUCAUUUUUGAAAAAGGACGAUGUACUGUGGAGUAACAAUAUAAGUGAAUAGAGGGUGACUUGUUUUGUAAUCUAUCUAGACACUAAUGGUCUAUAUUGUUCACUUUUAUAAUUAACGUCGAAACGGUCUUUUAAGCAGCAUUUUCAAUUAUGAAAUCACGAUAAAGUUGAAGCUCUGGUGCUCCUGGGUUUGACUAUUCAAUCCUCAGGUCUGACUUAACGCCUUCUUAGUCAAAGCCCAAGUAAAUGACGUUAAACGGCCUUUAAAUAAUUUUUGUCAAACCUAGGAGAGACUAAUUUGGCCAGGCAAACGUCGAAACUUAAUUUCAUGAAAUGGGGCUUUGACCAGUCAAACUCCAAUCGGGUAUUAAAAUAUCAUAAUUUGUUAGAUUAGGUUUAAUAAAACGUAAUUUUUUUAUUUUAAUGUUUAUUGUUUAUAUAUUUUCGUAAUUAAAAUAAAAAAUGAGUCUUUAUUCUCACUAGUCCUGUCGUCAGUGGGGAUACAACGGCCUCCUUAAUUCAAAUGGACUUAAUCAAGUUUUUUUUAUGUAUUUUGACCAGUAGAACACGAAUUUUUUGGGUAACAGUCGAUCCGGAUGUCGAUAAGAUUGUUAUAAACAAAGAACUUGAGGAAUCACAUAACAGCGAUUUUUUGCAAAACAAAACACUUUUUUGUAUUUUUUUGGGUCAUUCUAAGCAAAAAAUGUUUUUACAAGUUUUUUCGUAGGAUGCAUAGUUUUCGACAUAAGCGCGAUUGAACUUUCAAAAAAUCGAAAAAUUGCAAUUUUUAAACCCGAAUAACUUUUGAUUGAAAAAUAAAAUAGCAAUUCUGCUUACCGCAUUUGAAAGUUCAUGUCAAAUUCUAUCGGUUUUGAUUACUUUCAUUGCUAAAAAAUAAUUUUUUAUUGUUAAUCAAAGCUAUAAACACGUAGUGAUUGAAUGAUGUUUUCAAUGCAUUUCUCAUUUGAAAUCGAACGAGUAGGCGCGCAUACAGACAAUUUCUACGUAGAUUACGUACAUUAAAACGCAUGCAUUGGGCACGGGAAACACUAUGUGUUUAUGGCUUUGUU